This is an RNA transcript of Poecilia latipinna (sailfin molly), 2115 nucleotides long. RefSeq lists it as uncharacterized. The record is from RefSeq and is a predicted model, not a curated record. Lineage: Eukaryota; Metazoa; Chordata; Actinopteri; Cyprinodontiformes; Poeciliidae. The transcript has 4 exons.
ACUGCAUAAAAGGCUGUUCAACUUUACAUGUGGUCAAGAAUAAAUGAGUCUCUGGCUUGCUACUGACUCCAGCUCCUUUCCUUGGGCUGCCAACAGAAGAGCUGAGUGAUAGAAAAAGCCAAAGGUAUUUGUACAGUUUUGCUUCUGAAGCUAAUCAGUAACAGGGCAUGCUAUGAACUGUAGAAUAUGUUUAUUUUAACAGCUAUUCAACAAUAAAAGCUCAUCUUUACAGAGACAUGAAAGCUGUGAUUGGACUGCAGUUGAUGCUGAUAGGAGUCUGUUGUGGUUUGAAAUCUUCCUGUGAUGCCAAGUAUGAUGGAGUUAAAUGCUAUGGAUCUUUGGGAGGAACAUUGAACAUUCAGAUAAUGGAUGAUGCCUCAAAAAUACCUUAUUUCAAGUGGGUAAAGAACCGCUCAGUGCUACUCCGCUGGAUGGCCAACAAGACUGUAAGCCGUACAAGAGAUAGCAGAUUUCACUUUUUUCCAAGUAGUGGGACAGUUAGGAUCACUAACCUGACAGCGGAUGACAAUGGUCUAUAUAAGCUUGAUCUGAUUAGUGAAAAUGGAAAAUAUGAAGGCUCAAAAGUUCUGCAGCUGCACGUUGAAGGUAAUCCACUGUUGAUCUUCCUACAUUUUCUGCUUCCUUUGUUUUUCCUCUCAUACAUUAAUAGAAGUUAUAAAAAUUUUGCAUUGGAUUUCAUACAUAGAAUGUGAAAUAUAGCUGUCAUGUCUGUUCUGUUCAUUUCCAACUUCCCAUCAAAUGGAAGAAAGGCCUAUAUCUUAAUUUAAUAUUUAAAUAAUAGUUCUGUGGUUUCUCUCUCAGCUCCUGUGUCUUCUGCCUGGCUAGUCUCUGAGUGUGCGUCCUUGGGUAAGCAGAGGGUGUUCUGCUUUUCUGGGGCAGGGGACAAUACUCGGUACAAAUGGACUCUGGAUGGACGACCACUGAAAGGCUUUGAGAACAUGUAUGGAAACAUUCCGGCUAGCACCAUUCUUCUGGGACCGAAGAAAACAGGUCGUCUGGUCUGCUCAAUCAGCAAUCACAUCAGUCAUUCCUUCAAAGAGAUGAAGGUGACCAGCUGUGUGACGGGUGGGAGAAAAAAAUCUGGUUAGCUCUGGAUGAAACUGUCCCACAGAAAUCGUUGUGAAGAGGAAUAUAUUGACCAUUUUUGCCCAGGUUGUUGCUUGCCUCAUGAUUGCUGGAGAUUGACACCGGCCCGACUGGCGACCCUGCAAGGAUAAUCAUGAUCAGAUAAAGGAUGGAUGGAAGAAUAAAAUAUGAAAAACCUGACAACUUCUCACUCUCCCAAAAGUGGAGGAUGCAGAGAUCCCUGCUCUGUUGAUUGAAAGGAAACAUUCUACUCGCUAAGUUUAUUCAUAUGAAAAUCAAUUUCUGAAGUGAAAUUUUAAAAUAUAAAAUCUUCUACAGAAAAAGAUUUUAGAAUAAUCAUCACGAAUUCAAUACAUCAUGAACCAAGUUAUAAUUUAGUGCCCCUUUUCUGAUAUUUGUCUGUAACAGGUCUGGUCUUAUGUCUUAGGUUUGUCAUUCUUGAACUUUGAUAUUUUCAUUACCUUUCUGCUGUACAGUGGUGCAUCUGCAAAUAUGUUGUUUUUGAAAGAAAAUGUAUUUGAUCAAACAUUAUUAAAAUUUAAAUAUCAUAAAGUAUUAUUUUAAUUAAAGACAAUAGCUUUUAAACCACACAGCAUCAUACAUAAUGUGCCCUGUUUUCUCUCUUUUUUUUUGUAACAGUAAAACUUGUUGUUGGCAUCCUCUAAGAGGUGAAGUUUAUGGAGAAAAAAAAAUGAAUUUUUUUCAGCUGUAUGAAUAGUAGUGUGAAUACACAUUUGUCUGCCUUGCAUCAUGUCACUUCAUUUAGCUGUUAUCUCAUAGAGGAACUACAGAUUUGUGAAGUUAUGCUAUUGUCACAAACAAUGUUGACUAAAAGUUGCCAUGCACGUCAUGGUCAAACAAAAAAUAGACCCAUAAAUUGUUUUUAAGUUCCAUGGAAAUGAAUCAGCUAGUUCAAUGAAUUAAUUUAGAAUACAUUUGUAAUUGAAUUAAUACGCUGAAGCCUAUGAAGCACAAUAAAUUAUGAUUUAGUAUAAGUAAAAUACAAGG